This 489-nucleotide ribosomal RNA is filed under the name uncultured bacterium. RNAcentral describes it as "partial 16S ribosomal RNA". It matches the Rfam family "Bacterial small subunit ribosomal RNA", at positions 30 to 506 of the family's 1533-position model. The record is from RNAcentral.
AUUGAACGCUGGCGGCAGGCCUAACACAUGCAAGUCGAACGGUAACAGGAAGAAGCUUGCUUCUUUGCUGACGAGUGGCGGACGGGUGAGUAAUGUCUGGGAAACUGCCUGAUGGAGGGGGAUAACUACUGGAAACGGUAGCUAAUACCGCAUAACGUCGCAAGACCAAAGAGGGGGACCUUCGGGCCUCUUGCCAUCGGAUGUGCCCAGAUGGGAUUAGCUAGUAGGUGGGGUAACGGCUCACCUAGGCGACGAUCCCUAGCUGGUCUGAGAGGAUGACCAGCCACACUGGAACUGAGACACGGUCCAGACUCCUACGGGAGGCAGCAGUGGGGAAUAUUGCACAAUGGGCGCAAGCCUGAUGCAGCCAUGCCGCGUGUAUGAAGAAGGCCUUCGGGUUGUAAAGUACUUUCAGCGGGGAGGAAGGGAGUAAAGUUAAUACCUUUGCUCAUUGACGUUACCCGCAGAAGAAGCACCGGCUGACUCCGU